CAGGCAUGGGGGGGAACCCUGAUCAGCCUGCCGCGUGUGUGAAGAAGGCCUUUUGGUUGUAAAGCACUUUAAGCGAGGAGGAGGCUACUCUAGUUAAUACCUAGGGAUAGUGGACGUUACUCGCAGAAUAAGCACCGGCUAACUCUGUGCCAGCAGCCGCGGUAAUACAGAGGGUGCGAGCGUUAAUCGGAUUUACUGGGCGUAAAGCGUGCGUAGGUGGCCAAUUAAGUCAAAUGUGAAAUCCCCGAGCUUAACUUGGGAAUUGCAUUCGAUACUGGUUGGCUAGAGUAUGGGAGAGGAUGGUAGAAUUCCAGGUGUAGCGGUGAAAUGCGUAGAGAUCUGGAGGAAUACCGAUGGCGAAGGCAGCCAUCUGGCCUAAUACUGACACUGAGGUACGAAAGCAUGGGGA
This 409-nucleotide ribosomal RNA is filed under the name uncultured bacterium. RNAcentral's name for it is "bacterial SSU rRNA". It matches the Rfam family "Bacterial small subunit ribosomal RNA", at positions 365 to 767 of the family's 1533-position model. The record is from RNAcentral.